GACAUUACUUCAUUAACAUUAUGAAGUUUUUCUUAUUCUUGUUUUCUUUGGCAGCCUUUCCAAAAUGGGUCUUCUCAGACGUUCAGCUUGUAUUGUCUGGGUCAGGAAUGGUGAGGCCAGGAGAGAACCUCAACCUGCUCUGUAAGGUCACAGGCUUCUCCAUCUCCACUCAGCAUUAUGUGUGGCACUGGGUCCGCCAAGCACCUGGGAAAGGGCUAGAAUGGACUGGAAGCACACACCCCUAUGACGGGGGAAAGUGGUAUGCCCCUUCUCUGAAGAAUCGUGCAAGAAUUUCAUCAGACAAAUCCAGGAACGAGGUCUCCCUCCAGCUGAACACCCUCACAGCUGCAGAUUCGGCCAUGUAUUUCUGUGUCCGAGAAUACCACAGUGAGAUAAGGUCUACUGGGGCUGUGUAUAAAAAAGGAGGAACUGCUUCUGAAUGCAGAAUCCCCGCUUGUAAUUGCUGAGUAAUAAAUAUGCUGUGUAA
Non-coding RNA from Podarcis raffonei (Aeolian wall lizard), 487 nucleotides. NCBI's taxonomy places the organism in Eukaryota, Metazoa, Chordata, Lepidosauria, Squamata, Lacertidae. The record is from the annotation of a RefSeq genome assembly.